GAUUCGGAGCGAGUGGCGAACUGGUGAGUAACACGUGGGCUAACCUGCCCCGAAGCGGGGGAUAACAUUUGGAAACAAGUGCUAAUACCGCAUAAUUAGUUGGAACCGCAUGGUUCCAACUUGAAAGAUGGCUCUGCUAUCACUUCGGGAUGGACCCGCGCCGUAUUAGUUAGUUGGUGAGAUAAAAGCCCACCAAGACGAUGAUACGUAGCCGACCUGAGAGGGUAAUCGGCCACAUUGGGACUGAGACACGGCCCAGACUCCUACGGGAGGCAGCAGUAGGGAAUCUUCCACAAUGGACGAAAGUCUGAUGGAGCAACGCCGCGUGAGUGAUGAAGGUUUUCGGAUCGUAAAACUCUGUUGUUAAAGAAGAACAAGUGUUAGAGUAACUGUUAACACUUUGACGGUAUUUAACCAGAAAGCCACGGCUAACUACGUGCCAGCAGCCGCGGUAAUACGUAGGUGGCAAGCGUUGUCCGGAUUUAUUGGGCGUAAAGCGAGCGCAGGCGGUUUUGUAAGUCUGCUGUGAAAGCCCUCAGCUCAACUGAGGAAGUGCAGUGGAAACUACAAAACUUGAGUACAGAAGAGGAAAGUGGAACUCCAUGUGUAGCGGUGAAAUGCGUAGAUAUAUGGAAGAACACCAGUGGCGAAGGCGGCUUUCUGGUCUGUUACUGACGCUGAGGCUCGAAAGCAUGGGUAGCGAACAGGAUUAGAUACCCUGGUAGUCCAUGCCGUAAACGAUGAAUACUAGGUGUUGGAGGGUUUCCGCCCUUCAGUGCCGCAGCUAACGCAUUAAGUAUUCCGCCUGGGGAGUACGACCGCAAGGUUGAAACUCAAAGGAAUUGACGGGGGCCCGCACAAGUGGUGGAGCAUGUGGUUUAAUUCGAUGCUACGCGAAGAACCUUACCAGCUCUUGACAUCUUCUGCCAACCCAAGAGAUUGGGCGUUCCCUUCGGGGACAGAAUGACAGGUGGUGCAUGGUUGUCGUCAGCUCGUGUCGUGAGAUGUUGGGUUAAGUCCCGCAACGAGCGCAACCCUUAUUAUUAGUUGCCAGCAUUUAGUUGGGCACUCUAGUGAG
This 1078-nucleotide ribosomal RNA is filed under the name Apilactobacillus kunkeei. RNAcentral describes it as "bacterial SSU rRNA". It matches the Rfam family "Bacterial small subunit ribosomal RNA", at positions 83 to 1147 of the family's 1533-position model. Lineage: Bacteria; Bacillati; Bacillota; Bacilli; Lactobacillales; Lactobacillaceae. The record is from RNAcentral.